CUAUGCUCUCGGUAGAUCCUC
RNAcentral lists this non-coding RNA (21 nucleotides) under Arabidopsis thaliana (thale cress). Lineage: Eukaryota; Viridiplantae; Streptophyta; Magnoliopsida; Brassicales; Brassicaceae. The record is from RNAcentral.